This 267-nucleotide long non-coding RNA is filed under the name Hordeum vulgare. RNAcentral describes it as "long non-coding RNA (HVUL_LNC018918)". The record is from RNAcentral. Lineage: Eukaryota; Viridiplantae; Streptophyta; Magnoliopsida; Poales; Poaceae.
UUUCAUUCAUCUCUCUUGUUCUUUACUUUCUAUUUCAAACACGUUAUCAGCACAUAGUCUCUACCGCUAGAAAAAGGAAAGGCCGAGACCCCUACACCGGCCGGUGGAAGCGCCGAGCGGGCGUGAGACGCUCUAGCGCUGCUUACCAUUACACAUCGGAGAAAGGAAAGAUAGGCAUGCACCCAGCAUGCAUGAAUCUCUACAAAGGACUUGCAUGCAUGCACCGGCACACACAUGAAUCUCUACACACGACUGGCAUGCAUGCAU